Nymphalis io (European peacock) is the source of this 1110-nucleotide long non-coding RNA. RefSeq lists it as uncharacterized. The transcript is spliced from 3 exons. The record is from RefSeq and is a predicted model, not a curated record. NCBI's taxonomy places the organism in Eukaryota, Metazoa, Arthropoda, Insecta, Lepidoptera, Nymphalidae.
CCGUGCUUAUUAACGAGAAUCAAAUCCUGUCUUGUAUAGAAGCAGUGGAAAGCUUUGUGGUUUCUAUUAAAAUAUCGAGUUAUCGACUGUUUAUGGACUCUACGACUUGCUUCCACGAUUAUAAACUUGCUACGUUAAUUGGUUUUUGUCCCGUUUCUACGACGUACCUGGCUUUGAUUUGGACUUCGAUUUUAAGCGUAAAGGAAAAAAUAACCAAAAAAUCUGAAUUGAAAUGUUAUUUUGGGUGCAUGGACCAUUGUACAGAUUUCCAAAGUGGGUUUAUCCUCAUCAGGAAAGAAUCUAUCAUGUAUCUAUCUGGAAAGUAUUAUUAAAACGAGCGAUGAAUAUAUUUACAAUAACAUCCGAUUUUGCUACAGAUACUUUGAAAAUUAUUAACAAUUACCAAGUCACCUGUUAAUAAGAAAUGCAGUUCCCACAUUAAAUAUAUCAUCGCCUGAUCAUCUGCUAGAACAAGCAAUGUCACUUCGAUCAGCACCCACCUCUACUAUACAUGGCUAUUCUUCUCCAGCAUCAGUACUUUUUCCUACAGAAAUACCUAGUGUUACGAGUUUUAUUCAACACAAUGGUUUCUUAAAAUAAUUGAAAUAUUUUUUGCUAUAUUUUUACUUUCAAGAACUGGAGGCACCUAACGAGUCUAGCCAAGAAAGUAAUUGUUUAAUUCAUAAUGAAACAAAAAAUAUGUGGCAGACUGGGUAUUGAAAAUGUCUAGGGCUUAGGUCUUUAAAAACUGUCCUGUAUAUAUCAAAAGCUUUAUAGGAGAUGAAAGAUGUGAUUUGUCAUAUAUAUAUAUAUGAGCAUGAUUAUUCAAAAAGAUCACUGACACAUCCAUCUGCAAAAUUCGUAGACUUUAUGAAAGCUUUGUUUAAUAUAUGUAAAUGUAAAGUGCAUACAGGAAUCUCCGGUGUCUCUGCAAUUGUUUGAUAAUAUUUUAUUGAAUAUUGAUAUAUAUUCCAAUUUUAAUUUAUCAUGUGAAGUGCACUCUUCUUUAGAAAAUUUUAUUGUCUCAUGUAUAACUAACUUGAUGUGGAGAUGUGAACAAAAUAUUGAAAGGCAAAAUCAGUCGAUACAAUGAAAUGGAUAAAAUUAAGA